This 330-nucleotide ribosomal RNA is filed under the name uncultured eukaryote. RNAcentral's name for it is "partial 18S ribosomal RNA". It matches the Rfam family "Eukaryotic small subunit ribosomal RNA", at positions 1470 to 1796 of the family's 1831-position model. The record is from RNAcentral.
CCCUUAUAUGUUCUGGGCCGCACGCGUGCUACACUGAUGCAUUCAACGAGUCUAAAACCUGGUCUGAUAGGGCUGGGUAAUCUUUUGAAAGUGCAUCGUGAUUGGGAUAGAUGAUUGCAAUUCUUCAUCUUCAACGAGGAAUGCCUAGUAAACGCAAGUCAUCAGCUUGCAUUGAUUACGUCCCUGCCCUUUGUACACACCGCCCGUCGCUCCUACCGAUUGAAUGAUCCGAUGAAUACCAUGGAUUGAGAGUACGAAUAGGUUCGCUUAUUUCUGCUGCUCGAGAAGUGGAGUAAAUCUUAUCAUUUAGAGGAAGGAGAAGUCGUAACA